GGCGUGCUAAUACAUGCAAGUCGAGCGAACUGAUUAGAAGCUUGCUUCUAUGACGUUAGCGGCGGACGGGUGAGUAACACGUGGGCAACCUGCCUGUAAGACUGGGAUAACUUCGGGAAACCGAAGCUAAUACCGGAUAGGAUCUUCUCCUUCAUGGGAGAUGAUUGAAAGAUGGUUUCGGCUAUCACUUACAGAUGGGCCCGCGGUGCAUUAGCUAGUUGGUGAGGUAACGGCUCACCAAGGCAACGAUGCAUAGCCGACCUGAGAGGGUGAUCGGCCACACUGGGACUGAGACACGGCCCAGACUCCUACGGGAGGCAGCAGUAGGGAAUCUUCCGCAAUGGACGAAAGUCUGACGGAGCAACGCCGCGUGAGUGAUGAAGGCUUUCGGGUCGUAAAACUCUGUUGUUAGGGAAGAACAAGUACGAGAGUAACUGCUCGUACCUUGACGGUACCUAACCAGAAAGCCACGGCUAACUACGUGCCAGCAGCCGCGGUAAUACGUAGGUGGCAAGCGUUAUCCGGAAUUAUUGGGCGUAAAGCGCGCGCAGGCGGUUUCUUAAGUCUGAUGUGAAAGCCCACGGCUCAACCGUGGAGGGUCAUUGGAAACUGGGGAACUUGAGUGCAGAAGAGAAAAGCGGAAUUCCACGUGUAGCGGUGAAAUGCGUAGAGAUGUGGAGGAACACCAGUGGCGAAGGCGGCUUUUUGGUCUGUAACUGACGCUGAGGCGCGAAAGCUGAACCC
This 744-nucleotide ribosomal RNA is filed under the name Priestia megaterium. Its description in RNAcentral is "bacterial SSU rRNA". It matches the Rfam family "Bacterial small subunit ribosomal RNA", at positions 41 to 770 of the family's 1533-position model. Lineage: Bacteria; Bacillati; Bacillota; Bacilli; Caryophanales; Bacillaceae. The record is from RNAcentral.